GACGAACGCUGGCGGCGUGCUUAACACAUGCAAGUCGAACGAGAAUCUGCGGAAAGAGGAUUCGUCCAAUUGAAGCAGAGGACAGUGGCGGACGGGUGAGUAACGCGUGAGGAACCUGCCUUUCAGAGGGGGACAACAGUUGGAAACGACUGCUAAUACCGCAUAACAUAUAGAUGUCGCAUGGCAUUUANAUCAAAGAUUUAUCGCUGAAAGAUGGCCUCGCGUCUGAUUAGCUAGUUGGUGAGGUAACGGCCCACCAAGGCGACGAUCAGUAGCCGGACUGAGAGGUUGAACGGCCACAUUGGGACUGAGAUACGGCCCAGACUCCUACGGGAGGCAGCAGUGGGGAAUAUUGGGCAAUGGGCGCAAGCCUGACCCAGCAACGCCGCGUGAAGGAAGAAGGCUUUCGGGUUGUAAACGUUCUUUUGUCAGGGACGAGUAGAAGACGGUACCUGACGAAUAAGCCACGGCUAACUACGUGCCAGCAGCCGCGG
This 494-nucleotide ribosomal RNA is filed under the name uncultured bacterium. Its description in RNAcentral is "bacterial SSU rRNA". It matches the Rfam family "Bacterial small subunit ribosomal RNA", at positions 28 to 520 of the family's 1533-position model. The record is from RNAcentral.